GUGCAGCAGAAAGGAGCUAUCCACAAGGUGGCAGAGCAUCUCCGUGGCUGCAAACUCACAAAGAGACUCUCUGCUUGCCUGUCAUAAGAGCAGCCUGCAAUCAGCAGCCCUCUGUACAGACAGAUGAAGAAGCCUCAAUGCUUUGACCCAGAGCUGAUCACAGAAGCAUCCUGUCUGACUGAAGGCCACAGUCCAGAGGGAGAGCAAUGAAGACACUGACUGGAUCUUUGUUCCUGUGCUUCUGGCUGUAGCUGAAUUGUGUGAGCAGAGGAGAGCAGGUGGAGCAGCGCCCGUCUCACCUGAGUGUCCGGGAGGGAGACAGUGCCGCUAUCGUCUGCACCUACACAGACAGCUCUUCCUCUUAUUUCUGCUGGUACAAGCACGAGCCCGGAGCAGGUCUCCAGUUGCUUAUGGAGAUUUUCUCAAGUACAGAAGUAAAAGAAGGACAAGGAUUCAUUGUCCUACUGAACAAGAAAGACAAACAGCUCUCGCUGAACAUCACAGCUGCACAUCUUGGGGACUCUGCCACAUACUUCUGUGCAGUCAGUGCACAGUGCUCCUCAGGCACGUCCUGUCUGUACAUAAACCUGGGAUCAGGGCCAGAGACAGAUGCAUUUUCCUCUGCUGAGACCAGGAGCUUCCUGUAUUUUAUGCUUAGGAAACAGAUGUUCUAAAACACCUUAAAAUCCUGUUUCUAAAACAUACAAUGAGUGCUAGAGCAUUGAAUGAUGUCUUAGUGAGAAUAACUAAUUAGAUGUCAAGACUCUAGAGUUGAUUGACAGGUGUCAUUUAGAUUGCCCCCACUCUAAAGACAUCUCGAUGCAACUGGUGGAGAAUACUCAUUAUACAAAGGUUCUUAUCUUUUAAUAAUGGUACUUAGUAUGUUCACUAGGAUAUUAAUGGACACUAUAGAAAAUCAUUAAAAUAGAAAGCAAUUUUUUCAAGUAUCAGAACUUGAUAUGUGUGUGUGAUAUGUAUUUCAUUUACAUAUAGCAUAUAUUAUUUUAGACAAACAUUACAUAUGAUGCCCUAUGUUGGCUCCUUCUCCUCCUCCUCCUAGGUGCAUCCUCUCCUACUGAGGCCAGACAAGACAGACAAGUUUUGGGAACAGGAUCCACAGUAGGCAUCAAAUUCAGGGAGAGCUGCCACUCCAGUUGUUGACAGACCUGCAUGAUGAUGCACUUCUGCUACCUAUGUGCAGGGGGCCUAGGGCCAACCAUGUGUGCCCUUUGAUUGGUGCCUCAGUCUCUGAGAGCCCCCAAGGGUUCAGGUUAGUUGACUCUGUUUUUCUGUUGUUGUUUUGUUUUGUAUAUUUUUGGAGAGACCUUGUGUUUUCUGGGUCUACCAGUCUGUCCCCUAACUUUUCCACAUGACUCCAUGAGCUCCAUCUGAUGUUUGGCUGUGGGUCUCUGCAUUUGUUUGUGAUAGGUGGAGCCUCUCAGAGGACAGUAUACUAGGAUCCUGUCAGCAGGCAUAACAGAGCAUCAUUAGUAGUGUCAGAGAUUGGUUCUUAUCCAUGGGAUGGGUCUCAAUUUGGGGGCAAGUCACUGUUUGGUCCCUCCCUUUGCCUCUAUUCUAUCUUUGUCCCUGAACAUCUUGUAGGCAGGACAAUUUUGGGUCAAAGUUUUUGUGGGUGGGUUACUGUCUUUAUCCCCCAUUAGUAGUCCUGCCUGGGCACAAGAAGUGGCCAUUUUAGGAUCCAUAUGCCCACUACUAGGAGUCUCAACUAGAGUUGCACAUACAGACCCCUUGCUCCCCUCCCCCGUGCAGGUCUCUGGCACAUCCUAGAAAAACCCCCUGACCACUCUCCACUCACCACCUCUGCCCAACACUGAUUUCCAUUCUCUUUUUCCACACAUGAUUUCCCAUUUCCUGCUCUUUUCCCUCCGUUCCUUCUUUUCAUUCGCCUUCAAUAUAUAUUUUAUUUCCUCUUCUGAGAAAGACUCAAUCAGCCUCCCUUGGAUCCUCCUUGUUAUUUGGACUCCUUGGGUCUGUGGAUUAUGAUAUGGUUUCCCUGAAAUUUAUGGCUACUCUCCAUGUAAAAUGAGUACAUACCAUGUAUUUCCUUUUUGGUCUGCGUAACCUCACACAGCAAGAUAUUUUUUAGUUCCAUCCAUUUGCCUCCAAAUUUUUUGAUGUCCUUGGUUUUAAUAGCUGAGUAGUAUUCCACUGUUUAAACGAACCACAUUUUCUUUAUGUAUUCUUCAGUUGAGGGACAUCUAGGUCGUUUCCAGCUUCUGGAUAUUACAAAUAAAUCUGCUUGAACAUAGUUGAGCAAAUGUCCUUGUAGGAUGGUAAAGAAUCUUUUGGGUUUAUGCCCAGGAGUUGUACAGCUGGAUCUUGAGAUAGAACUAUUUCCAGUUUUCUGAGAAACUGCUAAAUUGAUUUACAGAGUGGUGUGACAAGUUUCCACUCCCAGCAUCACUGGAGGAGUGUUCCCCUUGUUCCACAUCCUACAUGAUCUUAGCCAUUCUGAUGGGUGAAGGUGGGAUGUCAAGGUUGCUCUGAUUUGUAGGAGAUUUCUCUGUUCUGUUUAGCUCUGUGCCUUAUUUUUAAAUUGGGUCAUUUGUGUUGGUGUCUACCUUCUUGAGUUCCUUAUAUACUUUAGAUAUUAAUCCUUUGUCAGAUGCUGGGGAGGUGAAGAUAUUUUCCCAAUGUGUAGAGUGUCAUUUUGUUCUAUUUAAGGAGUCCUUUGACCUACUGAAGAUUUUCAGAUUCAUGAGGUCCCAGUUUUUAGUUGUUGAUCUUAGUGCCUGAGUUAUUGGUGAUGUGUUCAGGAAGUUGUCUCUUUACCAAAAAGUUUAAGGCUACUCUCUACUUUCUGUUCUAUUAGAUUUAGUUUAUCUGGUUUUAUGUUGUGGUCUUUGAUCAACUGGGAUUUGAGAUUUGUGCAGGGUGAUAAAUAGGAAUUAUUUGCACUCUUCUACAUGAGGACAUCCAGUUAGAUCAGCACUAUUUGUUGAAGAUGCUCUAGCUUUCCACUGCAUGAAUCUGGCUUCUUUUUCAAAAAGUCAAGUGUUCAUAUGUGUGUGGGUAUGUUUUUGCGUGUUCUAUUUGACUCCAUUGAUCAGCCUGUCUGUUUACAAACCCAAACCAAGCAGUUUGUAUUACUAUUGCUGUGCAGUAGAGCUGGAAGCCAGGGAUAGUGAUAUCUCCAGAAGUUUGUGCUUUAUUCAUUUUGCAGGUAAGUUUAAGCUAUCCUGUUUCUUUUUUCUACAUGAGGUUGAGAAUUGGGGAACAAAUUUCGAUGUUCCUGUGUGAAAAAGUAUGAUGACACCUCUAUUUAAGUAUGAUGACACCUCUAUUUUAUUCAAUACAUAAAAUCUAAGUUUGAAUGGAUCCUAGAUUAAAAAUAAAAUAGCAAAGCUAUAAACCAUAUGUAAACAAAAAUGGUGUAGAUUCUUGUGAAUGGUCUAGGCAAGUCUUAAGUAUUUUACUGGAAUGGGAAGGAAAAAUGAAAACAGAUAAAAUGAUCUUUAUGGUUCAAAGUACAUUAAUGAUAACAUGAAAAUGGCCCCACAAUGGGAACAAAGUACUGACAAUUCCUUUGUCUGAUAGCACACUUCAAACCACAAUUCAUAAGCCUCUCCUUACCUUAGUAAUACACAGAGAAGUAACUUAGUUUUUAAAAUGAGCAAAAAGAUAAAUAGAUGGUCUACUAAUUAUUUUAUGGAAAUGCUUGAUAAACACACGGAAGAACGUUGAACACUGCAUUUUUAGAGAAGGACAAAAUUACAAAGUAUACUGUACAGGUGGUGGUUUGAAUAGGUACACCCAUCCACAUAGAUUCCUGUGUUUGAAUAUGGAGUGGCACUAUUAGUAUGUAUAGCUUUAUAUGAGGAAGUGUUGUCUUGUUAGUGGUAGUAUGGCACUGUGGAGAUAGGGCUCUGAGGUCCUAAGUGCAUCCAGCCUGUUUUCGUUGCCUGAAGAUCAAGAGGCAGAACGUUCAGCUCCUUCACCACCAUGACUGAGCAUUGCCAGGCUUCCCACCAUGAUGAUAAUGGGCUAUACCUGUCUAUUAUCUGUAAUGUCCAUUAACUGUAAGCUAGCCCCAAUUAAAUGUUUUUAUUGAAACAGUUGUCUUGUUCAUACUGCCUUUUCACAGCAAUAAAACCAUAAGACAAUACCACUCCCAGUAAAACUGAAAAUAUAAAAUAGAGACAAUAUAACAAGUUUUGUCUAAAGUCUGGAGAAUUUAAAUAAGCAUGCAUUGUUCAUGGGAAGGAAAAAUAUUGAAGCUGCUUUGGAAAAUAGUAAUUUCCUAGUAAUGUACUAAAGAGAAGUGAGAGUGUGUAUUACCUAAGAAGUAGUAUACAAGUGCUCAUAUCUGUGUACCCAUAACUUCACAAAGUCGGAAUAAUCCAGUGGCUGCCAGUAGAUGACUGGAAAAUAUGUAGCCAACCCAUGGAAAGCAAUGUCACACCGAUGGGAAAAAAUGACAUAUUGACCUCUGCUAAGAAAUGAAGUGUGAAAUACAAAAAAGCACAUGAUAGUAACCAACUGCAACAGACCACAUAUGUAAUAGCUAUUAACCUAUUAAUAAGAUUUUAUCAGUGGCAGAAUUAGAGGGAAAAAGACAGGCAUAACUAUUCCUAGGUAUGAAGUUGAUUUUUGUGGUGAGGAACUUUGUUAAAAUUUAUUUGAUGGUGUUGAGAUAGUUCUGUGUGUAAAACAAUAAUCAUAGACUACACUUGAAUGGCUGAAUAAUACAGUGUAUGAAUGCUCAUCCAAUAGAAUAUUCACAAUACAAAGCUAUAACAAACCGAAAAACAUUAAGAGUAGACAGCUUGAAAGUGAAAUCAAAGCUCUCCCCUCCAAGCCUCUUAAGACCCUGUUCAUUUUGAUUCUGUCAUCUGGACUGGGACACUCACCACCUCCUGGGGCUCUCACAGCCUGCUCACUACACCAAAGCUUCUGUCCUUCCUGGAAGUCUGUCUUUAAACAGUGAGGUUUACAUACUGUCCUAGUUUUCUUUCUAUUGCUGAAAUAAAAUCCGACCAAAACCAUA
Molecule: non-coding RNA, 5008 nt
Organism: Rattus norvegicus (Norway rat)
Lineage: Eukaryota; Metazoa; Chordata; Mammalia; Rodentia; Muridae
Source: RefSeq, a predicted model, not a curated record